This 303-nucleotide ribosomal RNA is filed under the name Triticum aestivum (bread wheat). RNAcentral describes it as "partial small subunit ribosomal RNA". Lineage: Eukaryota; Viridiplantae; Streptophyta; Magnoliopsida; Poales; Poaceae. The record is from RNAcentral.
AUGAUGGAGAAGACAGGACAAUAUCAGACUUUGGAAGCUCACCUCCUAGCAGAGCCUCUGGGAAUUGGCCCAGGCCAGCGUUUCCGGAAACCAGCGGAUGGCCAUUUCCUUGCAAUAGCGGUUUGCCACAAGUAUUCUCCUCGGAACAUGCUUGCCCAGUGCUUGCUGACACAUGAUAUUUGGACCCACUCGUGGGUUGGUAACCGAGUCAAUAUUUCUACAAGGAGAUGUUCAGGGAGACUACCAAUUGGUCCAUCACCUCUGUCCAUCAUAAGGCUAUCAAACAGAAAACCAAAAGACUAA